GAUGAACACUGGCGGCGUGCCUAAUACAUGCAAGUCGAGCGAACGGACGAGAAGCUUGCUUUUCUGAUGUUAGCGGCGGACGGGUGAGUAACACGUGGAUAACCUACCUAUAAGACUGGGAUAACUUCGGGAAACCGGAGCUAAUACCGGAUAAUAUUUUGAACCGCAUGGUUCAAAAGUGAAAGACGGUCUUGCUGUCACUUAUAGAUGGAUCCGCGCUGCAUUAGCUAGUUGGUAAGGUAACGGCUUACCAAGGCAACGAUGCAUAGCCGACCUGAGAGGGUGAUCGGCCACACUGGAACUGAGACACGGUCCAGACUCCUACGGGAGGCAGCAGUAGGGAAUCUUCCGCAAUGGGCGAAAGCCUGACGGAGCAACGCCGCGUGAGUGAUGAAGGUCUUCGGAUCGUAAAACUCUGUUAUUAGGGAAGAACAUAUGUGUAAGUAACUGUGCACAUCUUGACGGUACCUAAUCAGAAAGCCACGGCUAACUACGU
RNAcentral lists this ribosomal RNA (496 nucleotides) under uncultured bacterium. RNAcentral describes it as "partial 16S ribosomal RNA". It matches the Rfam family "Bacterial small subunit ribosomal RNA", at positions 28 to 506 of the family's 1533-position model. The record is from RNAcentral.